Molecule: unclassified non-coding RNA, 347 nt
Filed under: soil metagenome
Description: partial contains 5.8S ribosomal RNA, internal transcribed spacer 2, and large subunit ribosomal RNA
Rfam family: 5.8S ribosomal RNA (bases 1-120)
Source: RNAcentral
GAUGAAGAACGCAGCGAAAUGCGAUACGUAAUGUGAAUUGCAGAAUUCAGUGAAUCAUCGAGUCUUUGAACGCACAUUGCGCCCCCUGGUAUUCCGGGGGGCAUGCCUGUCCGAGCGUCAUUGCUGCCCUCAAGCACGGCUUGUGUGUUGGGCCUCCGUCCUCCUCCCGGGGGACGGGCCCGAAAGGCAGCGGCGGCACCGCGUCCGGUCCUCGAGCGUAUGGGGCUUCGUCACCCGCUCCGUAGGCCCGGCCGGCGCUUGCCGACGACCAUCAAUCUCUUUCUCCAGGUUGACCUCGGAUCAGGUAGGGAUACCCGCUGAACUUAAGCAUAUCAAUAAGCGGAGGA